This 465-nucleotide ribosomal RNA is filed under the name uncultured bacterium. RNAcentral describes it as "bacterial SSU rRNA". It matches the Rfam family "Bacterial small subunit ribosomal RNA", at positions 36 to 518 of the family's 1533-position model. The record is from RNAcentral.
CUGGCGGCGUGCCUAACACAUGCAAGUCGAGCGAGGAGAUUCCUCGGGAUGAUCCUAGCGGCGGACGGGUGAGUAACACGUGGGCAACCUGCCUCAUAGAGAGGAAUAGCCUUCCGAAAGGGAGAUUAAUACCUCAUAACAUUGCAGUUUCGCAUGGAACAGCAAUUAAAGGAGUAAUCCGCUAUGAGAUGGGCCCGCGGCGCAUUAGCUAGUUGGUGAGGUAACGGCUCACCAAGGCGACGAUGCGUAGCCGACCUGAGAGGGUGAUCGGCCACAUUGGGACUGAGACACGGCCCAGACUCCUACGGGAGGCAGCAGUGGGGAAUAUUGCACAAUGGGGGAAACCCUGAUGCAGCCAACGCCGCGUGAGUGAUGACGGCCUUCGGGUUGUAAAGCUCUGUCUUCAGGGACGAUAAUGACGGUACCUGAGGAGGAAGCCACGGCUAACUACGUGCCAGCAGCAGC